Molecule: ribosomal RNA, 1206 nt
Filed under: Triticum aestivum (bread wheat)
Lineage: Eukaryota; Viridiplantae; Streptophyta; Magnoliopsida; Poales; Poaceae
Description: partial small subunit ribosomal RNA
Source: RNAcentral
AUGGACGACGUCCUUCCCAUCGUCAUCUCGUUCCUGCCGGCGCACGAGGCGGUGCGGACGUGCGUGCUCUCCCCACGCUGGCGCCACUUUUGGACAUCUGCGCCCGGUCUCCGCAUCACCGCCGUCGGGGACUUCGGGAGCGCCGAUAAGUUCAAUCAGUUCGUAGACCGCCUGCUCUUCCUCCGUCGCCACUCAGACUGCCCACUGGAGUCAUGUGAGUUCGAUCUGGACGACAGGGAGUUCGGUUUCAACUCCAUCUCGUCCUUUCAGCAUGUGUAUCGCUGGAGCCUGCAGUCUGCUUUAGACUGCAAUGUCCGGGUCCUUCGGUGCAGUUUCACGGACACCAACCCCAACUUCCGCAUGCUUCCCGAGCAACUAUCUGAAUAUCCAGAGCCUCUACUCUCCCAGCACCUCACUGGGCUAGAGCUCCAUUGCAUCCGCUGCGCUCUUGAUUUCUCGGGCUGUCCAGUGCUAGUGGACCUUAAGAUGGAGCAGUGCGUCACACAUGCUGCUGAAAUGUUGUCUCCAUCCUUGCGACAGCUGAGUAUGGUCUGCUGUGAACUCUCCAUGUGGCAUCGUACUCAAGUAACCUUACCGAAUCUUGUUCGCUUGGAAUUAAUUAAUUGUGCUGGUAGACUUCCAUUACUUGAAAGCUUGCCAUCAUUGGAAACGGCGGUUGUUGAUCUUGGGGAGUUUUCUGAGGAUCGGUGUCCUGUGUCAGGCUGUCUUGAUGAUGAUCCAUGCUUUGGUUGUCAUUUUCAUUUUGAGUUCAUUGCUCAACGCGGAAGUAGCUACUUCUUCCAGGGUUUGUCUCGAGCCAAACACCUAGAGUUGUUAGCUUCCUAUAAUGAUGCGUUCAUUUUUCAAAGAGAUUUGAAGUGCCGCCCGACAUUUCCCAUGUUAAAGACUUUGAUACUCAACGACUGGUGUUUGCAUGCUGACCUCAGUGCUGUGAUUCAUUUUAUCCAACACUCGCCAAAUCUUGAGAAGGUUACUCUUAAAUUUGCUGAGGAAUUUGAUUCUUCAAUGGUGACAGAAGGAGAUAACAGUUUGUUGGAAGGAACAUUUUCAUCUGACCAUCUUAAAAUGGUUGAAAUCAAAUGUUUAAAGGUUGAUGGAAGAAUUAACAAAAUUCUCAAGAUCCUGAGUGCUUGUGGCAUAUCACUGGAAAAAGUCAAUAUCCGACAAGCCAAUACAAGUUCCUGA